Molecule: ribosomal RNA, 332 nt
Filed under: uncultured Bacillota bacterium
Lineage: Bacteria; Bacillati; Bacillota
Description: bacterial SSU rRNA
Rfam family: Bacterial small subunit ribosomal RNA
Source: RNAcentral
GUCGGUUCAGCUCGUGCCGUGAGGUGUUGGUUAAGUCCCGCAACGAGCGCAACCCCUAUUGAUAGUUGCUAAUAUUAAGUUUAAGGACUCUAUUGAGACUGCCAGCGACAAGCUGGAGAAGGUGGGGAUGACGUCAAAUCAUCAUGCCCUUUAUGACCUGGGCUACAAACGUACUACAAUGGCCAGAUACAAAGAGAUGCGAAGCCGCGAGGUGGAGCGAACCUCAUAAAAAUGGUCUCAGUUCGGAUUGGAGUCUGCAACUCGACUCCAUGAAGUCGGAAUCGCUAGUAAUCGCGGGUCAGCAGACCGCGGUGAAUACGUUCCCGGGUUUU